CCGUAGCCGGCUGCUCAAGUUUUCGGUUAAAUCUAUGCGCUCAACGUAUAGGCCGCCGAAAAUACUGGGCAGCUAGGGAGUGGGAGAGGUACACGGUACUCAAUAGGAAGGGGUAAAAUCCUUUGAUCUAUUGAUGACCACCUGUGGCGAAGGCGGUGUACCAGAACACGUUCGACGGUGAGGGAUGAAAGCUGGGGGAGCAAACCGGAUUAGAUACCCGGGUAGUCCCAGCUGUAAACGAUGCAGACUCGGUGAUGCAUUGGCUUGUGGCCAAUGCAGUGCCGCAGGGAAGCCGUUAAGUCUGCCGCCUGGGAAGUACGUACGCAAGUAUGAAACUUAAAGGAAUUGGCGGGGGAGCACCACAAGGGGUGAAGCCUGCGGUUCAAUUGGAGUCAACGCCAGAAAUCUUACCUGGGGCGACAGCAGAAUGAAGGUCAAGCUGAAGACUUUACCAGACAAGCUGAGAGGUGGUGCAUGGCCGUCGCCAGCUCGUGCCGUGAGAUGUCCUGUUAAGUCAGGUAACGAGCGAGACCCCUGCGUCUAGUUGCUACCAUUACUCUCUGGAGUAGUGGAGCGAAUUAGACGGACCGCCACAGUUAAUGUGGAGGAAGGAAGGGGCCACGGCAGGUCAGUAUGCCCCGAAACCCUAGGGCUACACGCGGGCUGCAAUGGUAUUGACAAUGUGUUCCGAAUCCGAAAGGAGGAGGCAAUCAUCAAACGAUACCUCAGUUAUGACUGAGGGCUGUAACUCGCCCUCACGAAUAUGGAAUCCCUAGUAACUGCGCGUCACUACCGCGCGGUGAAUACGUCCCUGCUCCUUGCACACACCGCCCGUCGUUUCAUCGAAGUUGGCCUUUAGUGAGGUAGUGUCUUGUUGGCAUUAUCGAGCUUGAGGUCAGUGACGAGGGAAAAGUCGUAACAAGGUA
Molecule: ribosomal RNA, 926 nt
Filed under: uncultured archaeon
Lineage: Archaea
Description: bacterial SSU rRNA
Rfam family: Archaeal small subunit ribosomal RNA
Source: RNAcentral